This 354-nucleotide transfer-messenger RNA is filed under the name Syntrophaceae bacterium. It matches the Rfam family "transfer-messenger RNA". From Rfam's summary of the family: Bacterial tmRNA, also known as 10Sa RNA or SsrA, is named for its dual tRNA and mRNA-like properties. Its role is to liberate the mRNA from a stalled ribosome. Lineage: Bacteria; Pseudomonadati; Thermodesulfobacteriota; Syntrophia; Syntrophales; Syntrophaceae. The record is from RNAcentral.
GGGGGCGCAAUGGUUUCGACGGGGAUAUGGAAGCUGUAGUCGCAUACCGAGGUUCCUACCAGGCCUCGUUAAACAGGUAGGAAACAUUUAAGCGCAACCAAUUACGAUUACGCUUUAGCCGCAUAGACGGCUACGUCCUCCUGAUUCCGCCUGCCGGAUCAGCACAGGGCGUCAUACAGGCAGGAUAGCUGAUUUCACUUUCCCGAAGUGAGAGGGGCGAAAACCCACAGGGAUAGCUCUCGAUAAAUCCUGCCUCCGGGAGUUUUCGGGAGUGAAAUUAAAACAGAGGAUAAGUAUGUAGACGCUGCAGUGGAAUAUUUUCGGACGCGGGUUCGAUUCCCGCCGCCUCCACCA